ACAUGCCUACAACAUAGCAUUAAUACAAUGGAUCCCAUUAGAACUCUGUAGUUAAGAGCGCUCAGGCUAGAGUAGUAUUGGGAUGGGUAACCACCCGAGAAGUCCCAGUGUUUUACAUGCC
Picea glauca (white spruce) is the source of this 121-nucleotide non-coding RNA. The record is from Rfam. NCBI's taxonomy places the organism in Eukaryota, Viridiplantae, Streptophyta, Pinopsida, Pinales, Pinaceae.